RNAcentral lists this ribosomal RNA (745 nucleotides) under Mycolicibacterium sp. RNAcentral's name for it is "bacterial SSU rRNA". It matches the Rfam family "Bacterial small subunit ribosomal RNA", at positions 67 to 829 of the family's 1533-position model. Lineage: Bacteria; Bacillati; Actinomycetota; Actinomycetes; Mycobacteriales; Mycobacteriaceae. The record is from RNAcentral.
CGGAAAGGCCCUUCGGGGUACUCGAGUGGCGAACGGGUGAGUAACACGUGGGUGAUCUGCCCUGCACUUCGGGAUAAGCCUGGGAAACUGGGUCUAAUACCGAAUAGGACCAUGGCAUGCAUGUGCUGUGGUGGAAAGCUUUUGCGGUGUGGGAUGGGCCCGCGGCCUAUCAGCUUGUUGGUGGGGUGAUGGCCUACCAAGGCGACGACGGGUAGCCGGCCUGAGAGGGUGUCCGGCCACACUGGGACUGAGAUACGGCCCAGACUCCUACGGGAGGCAGCAGUGGGGAAUAUUGCACAAUGGGCGCAAGCCUGAUGCAGCGACGCCGCGUGGGGGAUGACGGCCUUCGGGUUGUAAACCUCUUUCAGUAGGGACGAAGCGCGAGUGACGGUACCUACAGAAGAAGCACCGGCCAACUACGUGCCAGCAGCCGCGGUAAUACGUAGGGUGCGAGCGUUGUCCGGAAUUACUGGGCGUAAAGAGCUCGUAGGUGGUUUGUCGCGUUGUUCGUGAAAACUCACAGCUUAACUGUGGGCGUGCGGGCGAUACGGGCAGACUGGAGUACUGCAGGGGAGACUGGAAUUCCUGGUGUAGCGGUGGAAUGCGCAGAUAUCAGGAGGAACACCGGUGGCGAAGGCGGGUCUCUGGGCAGUAACUGACGCUGAGGAGCGAAAGCGUGGGGAGCGAACAGGAUUAGAUACCCUGGUAGUCCACGCCGUAAACGGUGGGUACUAGGUGUGGGUUU